UGGCUCAGGACGAACGCUGGCGGCGUGCUUAACACAUGCAAGUCGAACGGUAAGGCCCUUCGGGGUACACGAGUGGCGAACGGGGUGAGUAACACGUGGGUGAUCUGCCCUGCACUUUGGGAUAAGCCUGGGAAACUGGGUCUAAUACCGAAUAUGACCAUGGACUUCACGGUUUGUGGUGGAAAGCUUUUGCGGUGUGGGAUGGGCCCCGCGGCCUAUCAGCUUGUUGGUGGGGUAAUGGCCUACCAAGGCGACGACGGGUAGCCGGCCUGAGAGGGUGACCGGCCACACUGGGACUGAGAUACGGCCCAGACUCCUACGGGAGGCAGCAGUGGGGAAUAUUGCACAAUGGGCGCAAGCCUGAUGCAGCGACGCCGCGUGGGGAUGACGGCCUUCGGGUUGUAAACCUCUUUCACCAGGGACGAAGCGAGAGUGACGGUACCUGGAGAAGAAGGACCGGCCAACUACGUG
RNAcentral lists this ribosomal RNA (471 nucleotides) under uncultured bacterium. Its description in RNAcentral is "bacterial SSU rRNA". It matches the Rfam family "Bacterial small subunit ribosomal RNA", at positions 20 to 507 of the family's 1533-position model. The record is from RNAcentral.